AAGGAAUGGGUUGAGAAACUGACUGAAGUUUCUAUCAGCUCUGAUGCCUUCUUCCCUUUCCGAGAUAACGUAGACAGAGCUAAAAGGGUGGUGUGGCGUACAUUGCGGCUCCCUCCGGUUCUGCUGCUGACAAAGUUGUGAUUGAGGCCUGCGACGAACUGGGAAUCAUCCUCGCUCAUACGAACCUUCGGCUCUUCCACCACUGAUUUUACCACACACUGUUUUUUGGCUUGCUUAUGUGUAGGUGAACAGUCACGCCUGAAACUUUGAGGAUAACUUUUUAAAAAAAUAAAACAGUAUCUCUUAA
Molecule: long non-coding RNA, 307 nt
Filed under: Homo sapiens (human)
Lineage: Eukaryota; Metazoa; Chordata; Mammalia; Primates; Hominidae
Description: long non-coding RNA NONHSAT076745.2
Source: RNAcentral